GACGAACGCUGGCGGCGUGCCUAAUACAUGCAAGUAGAACGCACAGUUUAUACCGUAGCUUGCUCCACCAUAGACUGUGAGUUGCGAACGGGUGAUUAACGCGUAGGUAACCUGCCUGGUAGCGGGGGAUAACUAUUGGAAACGAUAGCUAAUACCGCAUAAUAUUGAUUAUUGCAUGAUAAUUGAUUGAACGAUGCUAUUGCAUCACUACCAGAUGGACCUGCGUUGUAUUAGCUAGUAGGUGAGGUAACGGCUCACCUAGGCGACGAUACAUAGACGACCUGAGAGGGUGAUCGGCCACACUGGGACUGAGACACGGCCCAGACUCCUACGGGAGGCAGCAGUAGGGAAUCUUCGGCAAUGGACGAAAGUCGGACCGAGCAACGCCGCGUGAGUGAAGAAGGUUUUCGGAUCGUAAAGCUCUGUUGUAAGAGAAGAACGGGUGUGAGAGUGGAAAGUUCACACUGUGACGGUAUCUUACCAGAAAGGGACGGCUAACUACGUG
This 505-nucleotide ribosomal RNA is filed under the name uncultured bacterium. RNAcentral's name for it is "partial 16S ribosomal RNA". It matches the Rfam family "Bacterial small subunit ribosomal RNA", at positions 28 to 507 of the family's 1533-position model. The record is from RNAcentral.